Molecule: ribosomal RNA, 458 nt
Filed under: uncultured bacterium
Lineage: Bacteria
Description: bacterial SSU rRNA
Rfam family: Bacterial small subunit ribosomal RNA
Source: RNAcentral
AGCGAACGCUAGCGGCGGGCCUAACACAUGCAAGUCGAGCGCAUACCUUCGGGUAUGAGCGGCGGACGGGUGAGUAACACGUAGGUAAUCUACCCUUUGGUGGGGAAUAACCCGGGGAAACUCGGGCUAAUGCCGCACGAGGUCUACGGAUCAAAGCCUUCGGGCGCCAGAGGAUGAGCCUGCGUUGCAUUACCUAGUUGGCGGGGUAACGGCCCACCAAGGGGACGAUGCAUAGCUGGUCUGAGAGGAUGAUCAGCCACACUGGGACUGAGACACGGCCCAGACUCCUACGGGAGGCAGCAGUGGGGAAUAUUGCGCAAUGGGGGGAAACCCUGACGCAGCUACGCCGCGUGGGUGAUGAAGGCCUUCGGGUUGUAAAGCCCUGUCGGGAGGGACGAAGUACUGACGGUACCUCCCAAGAAAGCACCGGCUAACUCCGUGCCAGCAGCCGCGGUAAU